This 301-nucleotide ribosomal RNA is filed under the name uncultured bacterium. RNAcentral describes it as "partial 16S ribosomal RNA". It matches the Rfam family "Bacterial small subunit ribosomal RNA", at positions 509 to 807 of the family's 1533-position model. The record is from RNAcentral.
CAGUCGCCGCGGGAAUACGUAGGGUGCGAGCGUUAAUCGGAAUUACUGGGCGUAAAGCGUGCGCAGGCGGUUUUGUAAGACAGGCGUGAAAUCCCCGGGCUCAACCUGGGAAUGGCGCUUGUGACUGCAAAGCUAGAGUGCGGCAGAGGGGGAUGGAAUUCCGCGUGUAGCAGUGAAAUGCGUAGAUAUGCGGAGGAACACCGAUGGCGAAUGCAAUCCCCUGGGCCUGCACUGACGCUCAUGCACGAAAGCGUGGGGAGCAAACAGGAUUAGAUACCCCAGUAGUCCCUGUCUCUUAUAC